GUAGGGUGCGAGCGUUAAUCGGAAUUACUGGGCGUAAAGCGUGCGCAGGCGGUUCGUUAAGUUCGUUGUGAAAGCCCCGGGCUCAACCUGGGAACUGCAAUGGAAACUGGCGGGCUUGAGUGUGGCAGAGGGGGGUGGAAUUCCGCGUGUAGCAGUGAAAUGCGUAGAGAUGCGGAGGAACACCGAUGGCGAAGGCAGCCCCCUGGGCCAACACUGACGCUCAGGCACGAAAGCGUGGGGAGCAAACAGGAUUAGAUACCCUGGUAGUCCACGCCCUAAACGAUGCUCACUAGGUGUUGGGGAAGCGAUUCCUUGGUACCGUAGCUAACGCGUGAAGUGAGCCGCCUGGGGAGUACGGCCGCAAGGUUA
Molecule: ribosomal RNA, 369 nt
Filed under: uncultured bacterium
Lineage: Bacteria
Description: bacterial SSU rRNA
Rfam family: Bacterial small subunit ribosomal RNA
Source: RNAcentral